Molecule: long non-coding RNA, 1012 nt
Filed under: Macaca mulatta (Rhesus monkey)
Lineage: Eukaryota; Metazoa; Chordata; Mammalia; Primates; Cercopithecidae
Description: lncRNA (ENSMMUG00000052752.1)
Source: RNAcentral
CCUUUUCCUCUCGGAAAUAAAAGAAUGUUCUUUGAGUAUGAUUUUCUUUCUUUCUCAUCAGCCAUGAGUGAUGAAAGACAGAUACCAACAAAUGAAAUUAGACUCUCUCUGACUAUCCUCAGAUCAAAAACUCUAGAGCUGUAUAGCAUAUCACUGUAUGGAUAUACAUAAAGCAUUCAAUAAAAGACUGUAUUUUAUUCCUCAUCUUAAAUCAGCUGAACACAGCACAGUUAUUGCCUCAGAAGACUUUUCAGUAAGUAUUUGCUGAUCCACACAGAAGGAGCGACUGGCUAGUGCACAAUGAUCUAACGGCAUGGUUCUUUGUCAGUGUGAGUUGGUGAACAGAUAAACAUGACCUAUUCUUAAGUACUGUGCUUAAGAGUAAAGGAUGACUGAUUUAACUAUUUUCAACAUGGAGUAAUAUAUUAGUCUCUAAAGAGUAUUUACUCCCAUAGCAUAGGUAACUGCAAAACUGGGUAAAGCACCUACAUUUUUUGCCAUAACUCAGAGGCUCCACAACAGGGAACCCACCAAAUGACUAUAGCCUGCAGACAUGUUUUGUUUUGAUCAAUUAAAAUGUCUUUGAAGUAGCUGACACCAUUAGCUAAUUUAGAAAUUUAACAUAAAAAAAAAAACGUAUCUAUAGCUGUAGCUUUUGUUGAAAAGUCUGACAAUCUAGCAGGAGUUGGCCUGCCUUUCUUCAUAGCAAUAGCUUCUGGGGCUGAGUAGCACCGCCAUCUUUAGACAAGAGCAUGAGUGCCAGGGUUCUCCCAGAUCUGCCUUGGCCAGUUUAGCUCAUUGCUUGCCUUGACCCAGUAGAUAUUUAAGUUUGCCGUAGCUGGGCUGACGUAUAAAAAUCCAUACAUAACCUUAUGAGAUGGAGCAGGGAGUCCCUUUUUGGUGAUCUGCAUGCCCCCCACUUUCCCAGGCAUAGAAAUAAAAUAAAAUCUUGAGUUUCUUCAAGGGAAGCUAGCCAUGAAAAGUACAUAAAUAACUUGUUAUGCAAGAAGGU